UGGGGAAUAUUGCACAAUGGGGGGAAACCCUGAUGCAGCAACGCCGCGUGAAGGAAGACGGUUUUCGGAUUGUAAACUUCUGUUCUUAGUGAAGAAUAAUGACGGUAGCUAAGGAGCAAGCCACGGCUAACUACGUGCC
Molecule: ribosomal RNA, 139 nt
Filed under: uncultured bacterium
Lineage: Bacteria
Description: partial 16S ribosomal RNA
Rfam family: Bacterial small subunit ribosomal RNA
Source: RNAcentral